This 484-nucleotide ribosomal RNA is filed under the name uncultured bacterium. RNAcentral's name for it is "partial 16S ribosomal RNA". It matches the Rfam family "Bacterial small subunit ribosomal RNA", at positions 30 to 507 of the family's 1533-position model. The record is from RNAcentral.
AUUGAACGCUGGCGGCAGGCCUAACACAUGCAAGUCGAGCGGAUGAAGGGAGCUUGCUCCUGGAUUCAGCGGCGGACGGGUGAGUAAUGCCUAGGAAUCUGCCUGGUAGUGGGGGAUAACGUCCGGAAACGGGCGCUAAUACCGCAUACGUCCUGAGGGAGAAAGUGGGGGAUCUUCGGACCUCACGCUAUCAGAUGAGCCUAGGUCGGAUUAGCUAGUUGGUGGGGUAAAGGCCUACCGAGGCGACGAUCCGUAACUGGUCUGAGAGGAUGAUCAGUCACACUGGAACUGAGACACGGUCCAGACUCCUACGGGAGGCAGCAGUGGGGAAUAUUGGACAAUGGGCGAAAGCCUGAUCCAGCCAUGCCGCGUGUGUGAAGAAGGUCUUCGGAUUGUAAAGCACUUUAAGUUGGGAGGAAGGGCAGUAAGCUAAUACCUUGCUGUUUUGACGUUACCAACAGAAUAAGCACCGGCUAACUUCGUG